AUACAUGCAAGUCGAACGCGUCUCCGUUAAUGAUUUUAGGUGCUUGCACUUGAAAGAUUUAACAUUGAGACGAGUGGCGAACUGGUGAGUAACACGUGGGUAACCUGCCCUUGAAGUAGGGGAUAACACUUGGAAACAGGUGCUAAUACCGUAUAACAACCAAAACCACCUGGUUUUGGUUUAAAAGACGGCUUCGGCUGUCACUUUAGGAUGGACCCGCGGCGUAUUAGCUUGUUGGUAAGGUAACGGCCUACCAAGGCGAUGAUACGUAGCCGACCUGAGAGGGUAAUCGGCCACAUUGGGACUGAGACACGGCCCAAACUCCUACGGGAGGCAGCAGUAGGGAAUCUUCCACAAUGGACGAAAGUCUGAUGGAGCAACGCCGCGUGAGUGAUGAAGGGUUUCGGCUCGUAAAACUCUGUUGUUGGAGAAGAACAGGUGUCAGAGUAACUGUUGACAUCUUGACGGUAUCCAACCAGAAAGCCACGGCUAACUACGUGCCAGCAGCCGCGGUAAUACGUAGGUGGCAAGCGUUGUCCGGAUUUAUUGGGCGUAAAGCGAGCGCAGGCGGUUUUUUAGGUCUGAUGUGAAAGCCUUCGGCUUAACCGGAGAAGUGCAUCGGAAACCGGGAGACUUGAGUGCAGAAGAGGACAGUGGAACUCCAUGUGUAGCGGUGAAAUGCGUAGAUAUAUGGAAGAACACCAGUGGCGAAGGCGGCUGUCUGGUCUGUAACUGACGCUGAGGCUCGAAA
This 751-nucleotide ribosomal RNA is filed under the name Lentilactobacillus buchneri. Its description in RNAcentral is "bacterial SSU rRNA". It matches the Rfam family "Bacterial small subunit ribosomal RNA", at positions 51 to 758 of the family's 1533-position model. Lineage: Bacteria; Bacillati; Bacillota; Bacilli; Lactobacillales; Lactobacillaceae. The record is from RNAcentral.